AACGAACGCUGGCGGCAGGCUUAACACAUGCAAGUCGAGCGAGACCUUCGGGUCUAGCGGCGGACGGGUGAGUAACGCGUGGGAACGUGCCCUUCUCUACGGAAUAGCCCCGGGAAACUGGGAGUAAUACCGUAUACGCCCUUUGGGGGAAAGAUUUAUCGGAGAAGGAUCGGCCCGCGUUGGAUUAGGUAGUUGGUGGGGUUAUGGCCCACCAAGCCGACGAUCCAUAGCUGGUUUGAGAGGAUGAUCAGCCACACUGGGACUGAGACACGGCCCAGACUCCUACGGGAGGCAGCAGUGGGGAAUCUUAGACAAUGGGGGCAACCAUGAUCUAGCCAUGCCGCGUGAGUGAUGAAGGCCUUAGGGUUGUAAAGCUCUUUAAGCUGGGAAGAUAAUGACGGUACCAGCAGAAGAAGCCCCGGCUAACUCCGUG
This 433-nucleotide ribosomal RNA is filed under the name uncultured bacterium. RNAcentral's name for it is "partial 16S ribosomal RNA". It matches the Rfam family "Bacterial small subunit ribosomal RNA", at positions 29 to 507 of the family's 1533-position model. The record is from RNAcentral.